AGGGUUUGAUCAUGGCUCAGGAUGAACGCUGGCGGCGUGCUUAACACAUGCAAGUCGAACGAACCUUCGGGUUAGUGGCGGACGGGUGAGUAACGCGUGAGAAUCUGCCCUCAGGAGGGGGAUAACGGUUGGAAACGACCGCUAAUACCCCAUAUGCCUACUGGUGAAAUGAAUUUCGCCUGAGGAUGAGCUCGCGUCUGAUUAGCUAGUUGGUGAGGUAAUGGCUCACCAAGGCUUCGAUCAGUAGCUGGUCUGAGAGGAUGAUCAGCCACACUGGGACUGAGACACGGCCCAGACUCCUACGGGAGGCAGCAGUGGGGAAUUUUCCGCAAUGGGCGAAAGCCUGACGGAGCAACGCCGCGUGAGGGACGAAGGCCUCUGGGCUGUAAACCUCUUUUCUCAAGGAAGAAGAUAUGACGGUACUUGAGGAAUAAGCCACGGCUAAUUCCGUGCCAGCAGCCGCGGUAAUACGGGAGUGGCAAGCGUUAUCCGGAAUUAUUGGGCGUAAAGCGUCCGCAGGCGGCUUUUCAAGUCUGCUGUUAAAGCGUGGAGCUUAACUCCAUCAUGGCAGUGGAAACUGAAAGGCUUGAGUAUGGUAGGGGCAGAGGGAAUUCCCGGUGUAGCGGUGAAAUGCGUAGAUAUCGGGAAGAACACCAGUGGCGAAGGCGCUCUGCUGGGCCAUUACUGACGCUCAUGGACGAAAGCCAGGGGAGCGAAAGGGAUUAGAUACCCCUGUAGUCCUGGCCGUAAACGAUGAACACUAGGUGUCGGGGGAAUCGACCCCUUCGGUGUCGUAGCUAACGCGUUAAGUGUUCCGCCUGGGGAGUACGCACGCAAGUGUGAAACUCAAAGGAAUUGACAGGGGCCCGCACAAGCGGUGGAGUAUGUGGUUUAAUUCGAUGCAACGCGAAGAAUCUUACCAGGGUUUGACAUCCUGCGAACCUCUUAGAAAUUUGAGGGUGCCUUCGGGAAUGCAGUGACAGGUGGUGCAUGGCUGUCGUCAGCUCGUGUCGUGAGAUGUUGGGUUAAGUCCCGCAACGAGCGCAACCCACGUUUUUAGUUGCCAGCAUUUAGUUGGGCACUCUAGAAAGACCGCCGGUGAUAAACCGGAGGAAGGUGUGGAUGACGUCAAGUCAUCAUGCCCCUUACACCCUGGGCUACACACGUACUACAAUGCUACGGACAAAGGGCAGCAAACUCGCGAGAGCUAGCAAAUCCCAUAAACCGUGGCUCAGUUCAGAUCGUAGGCUGCAACUCGCCUACGUGAAGUAGGAAUCGCUAGUAAUCGCAGGUCAGCAUACUGCGGUGAAUACGUUCCCGGGCCUUGUACACACCGCCCGUCACACCAUGGAAGUUGGCCAUGCCCGAAGUCGUUACUCCAACCCUUGUGGAGGAGGACGCCGAAGGUGGGGCUAAUGACUGGGGUGAAGUCGUAACAAGGUAACCGUA
Molecule: ribosomal RNA, 1449 nt
Filed under: uncultured bacterium
Lineage: Bacteria
Description: bacterial SSU rRNA
Rfam family: Bacterial small subunit ribosomal RNA
Source: RNAcentral